This 314-nucleotide unclassified non-coding RNA is filed under the name Hevea brasiliensis (rubber tree). The record is from RNAcentral. Lineage: Eukaryota; Viridiplantae; Streptophyta; Magnoliopsida; Malpighiales; Euphorbiaceae.
GUUGGAAGGCUAUCGCUAAUCCAAAGGUCCUACACAAAGCCCAACAUACCUUAAUAACUAUUGUGUAAUUGAUUCUUGAAAAUGACGAUUGAAAGUGCCUAAAAAUAUAACAAAUUAAUAUAGAUCAUUCAGUGAUUUCCUUUUCCAUUUGGUGUCCGGCUAGAGCAAGGUUGUCCCAUUUUUAAGCUCUUGUUGAGUGGAAUUCAUUAAUGGUCUCGAAUCUUUCGGAUGAUGGCCGGAUUGGUUGGAAUUGGACUGGAAACUCACUGCCUCUCUUUCUUCCUUCACUAACAGAAAAUGCCAUGAAAUCUGAC